GACAGAGGGUGCAAACGUUGUUCGGAAUUACUGGGCGUAAAGCGCGUGUAGGCGGCAGCGCAAGUCGGGUGUGAAAGCCCUGGGCUCAACCUAGGAAGAGCACUCGAAACUGCGUGGCUUGAGUUCUGGAGAGGAAGGCGGAAUUCUCGGUGUAGAGGUGAAAUUCGUAGAUAUCAAGAGGAACACCAGUGGCGAAGGCGAGUCCCUGGACGAUACCUGACACUGAGGCACGAAAGCCAAGGGAGCAAACAGG
This 253-nucleotide ribosomal RNA is filed under the name uncultured prokaryote. RNAcentral describes it as "partial 16S ribosomal RNA". It matches the Rfam family "Bacterial small subunit ribosomal RNA", at positions 524 to 776 of the family's 1533-position model. The record is from RNAcentral.